Molecule: ribosomal RNA, 492 nt
Filed under: uncultured bacterium
Lineage: Bacteria
Description: partial 16S ribosomal RNA
Rfam family: Bacterial small subunit ribosomal RNA
Source: RNAcentral
AGUGAACGCUGGCGGCAGGCCUAACACAUGCAAGUCGAACGGCAGCACAGUAAGAGCUUGCUCUUACGGGUGGCGAGUGGCGGACGGGUGAGGUAUACAUCGGAAUCUACUUUUUCGUGGGGGAUAACGUAGGGAAACUUACGCUAAUACCGCAUACCACCUACGGGUGAAAGCAGGGGAUCUUCGGACCUUGUGCGAUUGAAUGAGCCGAUGUCGGUUUAGCUAGUUUGCGGGGUAAAGGCCCACCAAGGCGACGAUCCGUUGCUGGUCUGAAUGAAUGACCAGCUACAGGAGAACUUGGACGCAGUCCGGACACCUACGGAAAGCAGCAGCAGUGAAAGUUAGACAAUAGGCGCGAGCCUGAUCCACCCAUACCGCGUGGGUGAAGAAGGCCUUCGGGUUGUAAAGCCCUUCUGUUGGGAAAGAAAAGCAGCAGGUUAAUACCCAGCUGUUCUGACGGUAACCAAAGAAUAAGCACCGGCUAACUACGUG